CGCUUUUAUUUUUUCUCUCUCUCACUGAGCUCUCUGGCUCAACAAACCAUAUCCCUUGCGCAAGGCUCGUUUCCCACCAGCCCAUGGACGAGUGGAUCUUUUGAUUAUUGCUUAUCUGAUUCUUUCAUUUUCUCAGGGAGCUACAGCUAUAAUAGGACGGUCCUAGAGUAUUUAUGGAAACCAUCGAUUGCUAACAUUCAAUCAUUCCUGGAGAGUGAACAAUUACGGAUAUGCCCAAUAUGGAAUCUCAAGAUUCAACUGUUUCGCGAGGUGAAGAAAUCAAAGUCCUGGCUAAUGAAGCUUUUAAAGCCCAUAAGUAUUCUCAGGCUAUUGAUCUAUAUACUCAAGCGAUUGAAUUAAAUGGUAAGAAUGCUGUUUACUGGGCUAAUCGUGCAUUAGCGCAUACUAAAUUGGAGGAGUAUGGCAGUGCAAUACAGGAUGCUUCAAAGGCUAU
Molecule: unclassified non-coding RNA, 454 nt
Filed under: Hevea brasiliensis (rubber tree)
Lineage: Eukaryota; Viridiplantae; Streptophyta; Magnoliopsida; Malpighiales; Euphorbiaceae
Source: RNAcentral